Molecule: unclassified non-coding RNA, 347 nt
Filed under: Bombus terrestris (buff-tailed bumblebee)
Lineage: Eukaryota; Metazoa; Arthropoda; Insecta; Hymenoptera; Apidae
Description: misc RNA ENSBTSG00005026301.1
Source: RNAcentral
UAGCCGAUUUUGCGAAAAUUUGCGGCUAAUUUUCCCUUCAAAGUGUUCCAAAAAAGUGAAAAAUUGAAAUUUCGAAAAACCCUCCCAGCGUUACCUGGGGAACACUGUUACCUAACGAAUGAACUUUGAUUUUUUGAUAUCAGAUGAUCCAGCACCAAGUUACGAGUAAUUCUACUUUUUUCCGAGACACGUCCGAAUAAUUGCUGCCAUUACCGUAUUUUUUAAUAUUUCUCCGUGAAAAUUUUAUACAAUAUUCUUCGAAUGUCAUACUUUAAUGUACUAUUGGUUUUAAUAAAGAGAUUUUAACUGUGUCGUUACAAAUAAUUCACAAAAACAUGCCUUAUUUU